RNAcentral lists this unclassified non-coding RNA (334 nucleotides) under soil metagenome. RNAcentral's name for it is "partial contains 5.8S ribosomal RNA, internal transcribed spacer 2, and large subunit ribosomal RNA". The stretch from base 1 to 119 matches the Rfam family "5.8S ribosomal RNA", at positions 35 to 154 of the family's 154-position model. The record is from RNAcentral.
GAUGAAGAACGUAGCGAAAUGCGAUACGUAAUGUGAAUUGCAAAUUCAGUGAAUCAUCGAAUCUUUGAACGCACAUUGCGCCCGCCAGUAUUCUGGCGGGCAUGCCUGUUCGAGCGUCAUUUCAACCAUCAAGCCCCCGGCUUGUGUUGGGGACCUGCGGCUGCCGCAGGCCCUGAAAACCAGUGGCGGGCUCGCUAGUCACUCCGAGCGUAGUAAUACAUCUCGCUCAGGGCGUGCUGCGGGUUCCGGCCGUUAAAAAGCCUUAUUUACCCAAGGUUGACCUCGGAUCAGGUAGGAAGACCCGCUGAACUUAAGCAUAUCAAUAAGCGGAGGA